GAGUCCGCCUUGCGACCGUAUCCGCUAGCGCGACCUGGGAUGCGCUUGGGCUCCCUGUUCGUUCCCACAUGCAGGGCAGCACAAGGAGAAUGGGCGUCAUGACUGAUGUCCACCGGCGCUUCCUCCAGUUGCUGAUGACCCAUGGCGUGCUAGAGGAAUGGGACGUGAAGCGCUUGCAGAGGCACUGCUACAAGGUCCAUGACCGCAAUGCCACCGUAGAUAAGUUGGAAGACUUCAUCAACAACAUUAACAGUGUAUUGGAGUCCUUGUAUAUUGAGAUAAAGAGAGGAGUCACGGAAGAUGAUGGGAGACCCAUUUAUGCAUUGGUGAAUCUUGCUACAACUUCAAUUUCCAAAAUGGCUACGGAUUUUGCAGAGAAUGAACUGGAUUUGUUUAGAAAGGCUGUAAGUAGAGUAAUCCCCAUCGCCCAUUGGGUGGGCUUCUUAUGGGAAAGUUCUGUCUCCGUCAUUAGCAGUGGCAACUGCAGUGUUCAAGGAUCACUGGGGGGACAUGGGCCACCAUUGCUGUCUGAGAAAAGGCUUUGCAGGGAGAUGUCACUGUCUACCCAUCUGGAACUCACAGCUGCCAGGGGGUCCCCAUGGCUGCCUG
Molecule: small RNA, 609 nt
Filed under: Pan troglodytes (chimpanzee)
Lineage: Eukaryota; Metazoa; Chordata; Mammalia; Primates; Hominidae
Description: retained intron
Source: RNAcentral